ACAAUGGAGAGUUUGAUCCUGGCUCAGGACGAACGCUGGAGGUAUGCCUCAUACAUGCAAGUCGAACGGACUUGAUAGAGCUUGCUUUAUUAAGUUAGUGGCGCACGGGUGAGUAACGCGUGGGUAACCUG
Molecule: ribosomal RNA, 131 nt
Filed under: Candidatus Cloacimonadota bacterium
Lineage: Bacteria; Pseudomonadati; Candidatus Cloacimonadota
Description: partial 16S ribosomal RNA
Rfam family: Bacterial small subunit ribosomal RNA
Source: RNAcentral